AGCUGUUACUGGGGGAAGGAGCCAAGCGGCGCGGAGCAGCCGGCGGCCCGCAGACACUCCGGGUGCCCGGCCGCGCCGAAAUGGGCGCCGGCGGAGGGAAGGGAAGGGAAGGAAGGGAGGGAAGGAAAGGAGGAAGGGAAGCAGCGGAGCCGGGAGGCGAGGCCAGGCGAGGAGGAGCGGCCCGGCCCGGCCACACGAGCCCAGCGCGGGGGUCGGGGAGGGGGACCCGCUCCCUGAGGGCGGCCCCGCCGCGCCCGGCAGUGCGGGAGGGGAGGGAAGCGAAGGGGAGGCCGCCCGGGCACGGCAGGCCCCAGGCCGCGGAGCUUUUCUAGGAAAGACAUUAAACUGCGCUGCCAACAGAGCUUAUAGCAUUGCCGGAGAAUUAUGCUAGUUCUAAGGCAGCAUUUCUGGAUUUUACCUUCAGUCUAAGACCUGGGAUAUACCAUAGGCAGAUUUUUCCUACCUGAGCAUCAUCACACAAGCAGAUGGGAUCCGUCAGCUUCACAAAGCCUUAGAUUGGAGCGAGACUGAAGGCACAGCGAGGCACCAGCACAUCAGCAGGAAGCAGAUGGCUGGCUCCAGAAAAGUUCAAGCCCAGUCCACACACAACCCAGGUGCCAGAGCAGAGCUCGCCACGCACGGCGGCGCGUAAAUAAAUAGCAGCGAAGCAGGAAGAGCUCUUUGUUCAUUUUUAGCUCGUGUUGAUGCAGGGGCUCCCCAGCCCGGGCGUGUGUGACCCCAUGGUGCACAAACACAGCAGCAGGAGGGUGCAGGAGCUCCUGGGUGAGGCAGGCAAGUGACUCAGCGCCGCGCCAGCCUCAGGGAGGAGCCUGGACAGCACCAGGCAAACACUUUCCCUCCGCACUUUCCCUCGUAAAAAUUACCAUAGUGCCUUUGAUAUGCAGGCAGGCCCCAGUUAAACCUGAUAUUUAAACCAGCGGGACUUAAACGCUGUUGAUUUAAAGAGAAGAACCAUCAGGCUCCCACGGGGCAGCUCCGGGCUUGGCAGGGCAGCGGAGGGACCGGGCUCCCCACACGGAGGGAUCCCCCACAAAGAUGCUUUUGUCACUUUGCAUCCCAAAGUGGAUUAAUGUGAACCACAAGGGCACUUCAGUCCUAAUGAGCAGGUACACCCACACCCAGCAAUUCCAGCAAGACUUCCUCUGCUUCGGAAGCGCUGAAUAGUUCGGCCUAGAGGCCUUCAUACUCUUAAGACCUUUUUUCCCCCCUUAAUUUGAGGGAGAUAUCAACAUUAAGAAAAAAAAUCCCAAACCUUUUAAAUUAUUUGUCUUUGUGUUGUGCAUACUGAGAAAGGAAAUGGAGGUUCACUGGUUUGAAGGCAGUGGUUUUAUUAAUUUUGAGGCUGCUGACAAUGACUCUUUGCUGGCAAGGACAUGCUGUAAAAAGGGCUUCUUGCUGAACAGGGAGCAUCUUCUGCCUCACCUUAGCAUAAAUUUAUUGGUGAUUCAUCAUUUAUUGAUCAUACAUGGUAAAAAAUAACUAACACUGCUGAUCAACAUACCAGUACCACUAGUUUCAUCAGUUGCUUUAAGGCAUACACACGGAUUACCCUGUAGAUCUCCAUGAGGGAGAUCUCCUGGGACUCCUCCAGGGAGGAGUCAAUCCAAAAACAAUCAUCUCGUUGAUACACUCACCAGAUCGAUUUGGGAGGCUUCUGCUUCCCAGAAUAAACAGCAGGAGCAGAGGAACAGCAUUGACCAGGUGAACAGUCCCUCGUUCACAGGCAGCUGAUGAACUGUAUGAUCCAAAGCCAUGAAGUUGUUCUUCCACAAGUUUCAGGACACGAGUUGUGCUGCUCAGAGAAUGUUCAGCUCUCACUCAGUGUUCAGGCUCCCUGGUGCUCAGAGCUUCUGAUGGACACGGCUGCUGGCCCCAGGGACAAUUUCACAUUGAUCUUUUCAAAAUCUACCACAGGGCCCCAAGAAAUAGUACAGAUGACCAAGGUCAGGACUGCUGCAGGAUGGGGAUGCCUACCAAACAGCCUGGCCUCGCUGUUUUAUUGCUGCCGACCUCCCACCCAGAGGCCCAUCAUUCCCUGAAGGCUGUAAGAGAAACACAGUUGUGUGUUGUGAACAUGUCACACCAAGGACAGCUUCCAGAUCAGUGCCAGAGGAACAGAUUUUUAAAGGAAGAGAUGCACACUGCCUGAGCUCCUUCAAGCACCCUGCACCAGAUUCCUGCACCUUGGCUUCUACUGGGCCACAUGGUCCCUUUUUAUUUUUGGAGAGGAAAACCAGUGGGUUUGUUGCUGCAGCCCCAGGGCCUUCAUGCCCAUGGGGCAGAGAAUGUCCCUGCCCACCUGAGCUCCCACUCUGGUUCCUGGCACAAGAGGGAGGGCAAAAUAAAAGCCGAAUGUCGUCCCUUGCUAUCCACAAUCCAGCCCCAGGAAGACUGGUGGAGGUUUCACACAGGAAGAGGUGAAAAAUGAGUGAACAGCCUGGAAAGGUGCUGGUACAGACCUCACUCUGGGAAGUGACACACUGACCUCAGCGGGUUUAGUUAUUGCAGGUGCAGCACUGUAGCUUCAGUGUGAACUGGGGCUGUUACAUGGGAACAAAUUUCUGUUUUGGCUUUACUGAUUUGCUAAGGAUUGGGUUUUUUGUUUUGUUUUGGUGGAUUUUUAUUUUUUUUUGGGGGGGGGGGGGAUUUUGCAUAUGUAAAUAUGCACAUUUUUUAAGAUGGAAAAAAAAUGCUACUUCUCAGACAGAAACACUGAAGAGGCCCCUGUUAACGCUGAGGUUAUGGCAAAACUCCCUUCACAGCAGGCAUGUAACUCAGAUGUUAGGUCCUACUGUGGCUGAGCAAAUCCAAACUUGUUUUAUUUUAACAUAGUUACGAAAAAGGGUGUGUCCCAGCUGCCUUGGCAUACCUCUGAAGUUUCAAGCAAGACAUAUCUGGUCCUCGUAGGAGAUCAAACAGAUUAUCUCACAGGCUCAGGAUGUGGUUGCAAAAAAUUCAGCCUUGUAAGCGUCAUAGUGAAUCAUAAUGUAAUCUACAUUACUUGGUGUAAUUACUGCAGAGUAAAUAAAGGCACAAGUACAAAAGGUAUAAUAUUUGUUAUUUACCUUGAUCUCUGUCACAUACUGUUUUAAUAUUUCCUGUGAGUCCAAGAAUCCAGUCACCCUGAAGGAGAUUUCUCUUUCUUGCCCAUACUUAAACCCUGUUUUCUUUCAUUAUACAAACAUUGUUCAGGUUUUUAUGUGAGGGGAGGACAGAGCCAGGACUGAUUCUCUCCCUAAUCAGAGUCCUGGAAGACUCCUCAUGUAGCCUUCAACAAGAUGUUUGUUAUCAGGGCUUGAGCUUCUAUCUGUAAAAAGAGAGGACUAACACAGAUACUAAUGGUGAUUAUAUUAUUGUUAACACAUAAUUAUCUAUCUCACAAGAAAUUUGGGAGGGUAAAUUAGUGUUUAUGAAGCAUUUUUAAGACGAUAAUAUUAUUUAUGUGAGGGCUAUACAUUAUGCCUGGAGGACAGCAGUUGUUGAAAACCACUCUCUAAUUAGGUUUUGCUAAUGAUGGUGUCAAAAAAGUGUAGAAAAAAAUAUCAAUAGGUACACUUGAACUAGUUUUAUUUCUUAAACUAUUUGCAUCAGCUGCUUUCUUGUAGACAGAUAUGCUAUAUCCACUUAUACCAGAUGUUAAACAUUGUUUUCCUGCAUAUUAAGCAUAAAAUGAAUGAUGAAGGUGGCAGUGCCAAAGCACACCCUGCACUAUGUUAUUAGACAACUUGCUCCAGUGAUUAAAGCCCUUGAAGUCAAUAGAGGUUUUGUAGUUGUUGGGUUGUUUUUGUUUCCCCACCCCGCUGGGCAAGGAUUCCAUCCUGGAUCUCCAGCCUUGUCUUUCACUGCACACCACUGAUGUGCUUAACACUCAAUUAAAGCACACCCAGGAUUUAUUCC
Molecule: long non-coding RNA, 3918 nt
Organism: Passer domesticus (house sparrow)
Lineage: Eukaryota; Metazoa; Chordata; Aves; Passeriformes; Passeridae
Exons: 3
Source: RefSeq, a predicted model, not a curated record